GCCACUUUAGCUCAGUCGGUAGAGCGACGCAUUCGUAAUGCGUAGGUCGGGGGUUCGAGUCCCCUUAGUGGCU
RNAcentral lists this transfer RNA (73 nucleotides) under Culturomica sp. RNAcentral describes it as "tRNA-Thr". It matches the Rfam family "tRNA". Rfam says of the family: Transfer RNA (tRNA) molecules are approximately 80 nucleotides in length. Their secondary structure includes four short double-helical elements and three loops (D, anti-codon, and T loops). Further hydrogen bonds mediate the characteristic L-shaped molecular structure. tRNAs have two regions of fundamental functional importance: the anti-codon, which is responsible for specific mRNA codon recognition, and the 3' end, to which the tRNAs corresponding amino acid is attached (by aminoacyl-tRNA synthetases). tRNAs cope with the degeneracy of the genetic code in two manners: having more than one tRNA (with a specific anti-codon) for a particular amino acid; and 'wobble' base-pairing, i.e. permitting non-standard base-pairing at the 3rd anti-codon position. Lineage: Bacteria; Pseudomonadati; Bacteroidota; Bacteroidia; Bacteroidales; Odoribacteraceae. The record is from RNAcentral.